RNAcentral lists this ribosomal RNA (446 nucleotides) under uncultured bacterium. Its description in RNAcentral is "SSU rRNA". It matches the Rfam family "Bacterial small subunit ribosomal RNA", at positions 26 to 518 of the family's 1533-position model. The record is from RNAcentral.
AGAACGAACGCUGGCGGCAGGCCUAACACAUGCAAGUCGAGCGAUUGCAGCAAUGCAGGAGCGGCAGACGGGUGAGUAACGCGUGGGAACAUGCCUUUCGGUUCGGAACAACCCGGGGAAACCCGGGCUAAUGCCGGAUACGCCCUUUUGGGGAAAGAUUUAUCGCCGAAAGAUUGGCCCGCGUCUGAUUAGCUAGUUGGCGGGGUAAAAGCCCACCAAGGCGACGAUCAGUAGCUGGUCUGAGAGGAUGAUCAGCCACAUUGGGACUGAGACACGGCCCAAACUCCUACGGGAGGCAGCAGUGGGGAAUAUUGGACAAUGGGCGCAAGCCUGAUCCAGCCAUGCCGCGUGAGUGAUGAAGGCCUUAGGGUUGUAAAGCUCUUUACCUGGGAAGAUAAUGACGGUACCAGGAGAAUAAGCCCGGCUAACUUCGCGCCAGCAGCCGC